This 441-nucleotide ribosomal RNA is filed under the name Octopus laqueus. RNAcentral's name for it is "partial 12S ribosomal RNA". Lineage: Eukaryota; Metazoa; Mollusca; Cephalopoda; Octopoda; Octopodidae. The record is from RNAcentral.
CUAUUAUUUUUUAAUGUAAAAGUUGAUUUGAUAUUGAUUUACUAAAGUAUUAUGGAAAAUAACUGAUAUAAUAUUAGUUGGGUUAUUUAAAACUUAAAAGGUUUGGCGGUUUUACAUAUCCAGUUAGGGGAGCUUGUUAAUAUAAUUUGAUAAUCCACAUUUUAAACUUACUUUUUUUUGUAUAAUAUAAUUAUUGUGAUUAUAUUAUCAGUUUAUAUAUUGCUGUCGGUAGUUUAUAUUUAAAGAAAUAAAGGACUAAUAAAUGUUGUUAAUUAUUAUGUCAAGUCAUAAUGUAGCUGAUGAAAAAGGUUUAAUGGGCUACUAUAGUUAAUAUUUAUUUAUAUUAUCCGGAUAGUAAAAUUUAUGUUUUAUUAAAAAGGGGGACUUAAUAGUAAAAGUAUAAUUAGUAUGUAUUUUUGAAUAUGGUUUUGUAAAGUGUAC